This 489-nucleotide ribosomal RNA is filed under the name uncultured bacterium. Its description in RNAcentral is "partial 16S ribosomal RNA". It matches the Rfam family "Bacterial small subunit ribosomal RNA", at positions 30 to 506 of the family's 1533-position model. The record is from RNAcentral.
AUUGAACGCUGGCGGCAGGCCUAACACAUGCAAGUCGAACGGUAACAGGAAGCAGCUUGCUGCUUUGCUGACGAGUGGCGGACGGGUGAGUAAUGUCUGGGAAACUGCCCGAUGGAGGGGGAUAACUACUGGACACGGUAGCUAAUACCGCAUAACGUCGCAAGACCAAAGAGGGGGACCUUAGGGCCUCUUGCCAUCGGAUGUGCCCAGAUGGGAUUAGCUAGUAGGUGGGGUAACGGCUCACCUAGGCGACGAUCCCUAGCUGGUCUGAGAGGAUGACCAGCCACACUGGAACUGAGACACGGUCCAGACUCCUACGGGAGGCAGCAGUGGGGAAUAUUGCACAAUGGGCGCAAGCCUGAUGCAGCCAUGCCGCGUGUAUGAAGAAGGCCUUCGGGUUGUAAAGUACUUUCAGCGGGGAGGAAGGGAGUAAAGUUAAUACCUUUGCUCAUUGACGUUACCCGCAGAAGAAGCACCGGCUAACUCCGU